AGUUUGAUUAUGGCUCAGAUUGAACGCUGGCGGGAUGCUUUUUACACAUGCAAGUCGAACGGCAGCACGGACUUCGGUCUGGUGGCGAGUGGCGAACGGGUGAGUAAUAAAUGGAACGUGCCUAGUAGCGGGGGAUAACUACGCGAAAGCGUAGCUAAUACCGCAUACGCCCUUCGGGGGAAAGCGGGGGGACCUUUCGGGCCUCGCACUAUUAGAGCGGCCGAUAUCGGAUUAGCUAGUUGGUGGGGUAACGGCUCACCAAGGCGACGAUCCGUAGCUGGUUUGAGAGGACGACCAGCCACACUGGGACUGAGACACGCCCAGACUCCUACGGGAGGCGCAGUGGGGAAUUUUGGACAAUGGGGGAAACCCUGAUCCAGCCAUCCCGCGUGUGCGAUGAAGGCCUUCGGGUUGUAAAGCACUUUUGGCAGGAAGAAACGGCACGGGAUAAUACCCCGUGCAACUGACGGUACCUGCAGAAUAAGCACCGGCUAACUACGUGCCAGCAGCCGCGGUAAUACGUAGGGUGCAAGCGUUAAUCGGAAUUACUGGGCGUAAAAGCGUGCGCAGGCGGUUCGGAAAGAAAGAUGUGAAACUCAGAGCUUAACUUUGGAACUGCAUUUUUAACUACCGAGCUAGAGUGUGUCAGAGGGAGGUGGAAUUCCGCGUGUAGCAGUGAAAUGCGUAGAUAUGCGGAGGAACACCGAUGGCGAAGGCAGCCCUCCCGGGAUAACACUGACGCUCAUGCACGAAAGCGUGGGGAGCAAACAGGAUUAGAUACUCCUGGUAGUCCACGCCCUAAACGAUGUCAACUAGCUGUUGGGGCCUUCGGGCCUUGGUAUGGUGCCAACGCGUGUAGUUGACCGCCUGGGGAGUACGGUCGCAAGAUUAAAUCAAAGAAUUGACGGGACUCAAAUAAGCGGUGGAUGAUGUGAUUAAUUCGAUGCAACGCGAAAACCUUACCCACUCUUGACAUGUCUGGAAUCCCGAAGAGAUUUGGGAGUGCUCGCAAGAGAACCGAACACAGGUGCUGCAUGGUCGUCGUCAAAGCUCGUGUCGUGAGAUGUUGGGUUGGUUCCGCAACGAGGGCGCAACCCUUGUCAUUAGUUACAUGAAAGGCACCCCCAUCGAGACUGCCGGUGACAAACCGGAGGAAGGUGGUGGGGAUGACGUCAAGUCCUCAUGGCCCUUAUGGGUAGGGCUUCAUCGUCAUACAAUGGUCGGGACAGAGGGUCGCCAACCCGCGAGGGGGAGCCAACUUGGUGAAACCCGAUCGUAGUCCGGAUCGCAGUCUGCAACUCGACUGCGUGAAGUCGGAAUCGCUAGUAAUCGCGGAUCAGCAUGUCGCGGUGAAUACGUUCCCGGGUCCUGUACACACCGCCCGUCACACCAUGGGAGUGGGUUUUACCAGAAGUAGUUAGCCUAACCGUAAGGAGGGCGAUUACCACGGUAGGAUUCAUGACUGGGGUGAAGUCGUAACAAGGUAA
RNAcentral lists this ribosomal RNA (1487 nucleotides) under uncultured Bordetella sp. RNAcentral's name for it is "partial 16S-23S ribosomal RNA intergenic spacer". It matches the Rfam family "Bacterial small subunit ribosomal RNA". Lineage: Bacteria; Pseudomonadati; Pseudomonadota; Betaproteobacteria; Burkholderiales; Alcaligenaceae. The record is from RNAcentral.